This 390-nucleotide ribosomal RNA is filed under the name uncultured bacterium. RNAcentral describes it as "bacterial SSU rRNA". It matches the Rfam family "Bacterial small subunit ribosomal RNA", at positions 28 to 419 of the family's 1533-position model. The record is from RNAcentral.
GACGAACGCUGGCGGCGUGCUUAACACAUGCAAGUCGAGCGGUAAGGCCCUUUCGGGGGUACACGAGCGGCGAACGGGUGAGUAACACGUGGGUGACCUGCCCUCAGCUCUGGGAUAAGCCUGGGAAACUGGGUCUAAUACCGGAUAUGACUCCAUGACGCAUGUUGUGGGGUGGAAAGCCUUGUGCGGCUGAGGACGGGCCCGCGGCCUAUCAGCUUGUUGGUGGGGUGAUGGCCUACCAAGGCGACGACGGGUAGCCGGCCUGAGAGGGCGACCGGCCACACUGGGACUGAGACACGGCCCAGACUCCUACGGGAGGCAGCAGUGGGGAAUCUUGCGCAAUGGGCGAAAGCCUGACGCAGCGACGCCGCGUGAGGGAUGACGGCCUGG